Molecule: ribosomal RNA, 459 nt
Filed under: uncultured Treponema sp.
Lineage: Bacteria; Pseudomonadati; Spirochaetota; Spirochaetia; Treponematales; Treponemataceae
Description: bacterial SSU rRNA
Rfam family: Bacterial small subunit ribosomal RNA
Source: RNAcentral
ACGGGAGGCAGCAGCUAAGAAUAUUCCGCAAUGGACGAAAGUCUGACGGAGCGGCGCCGCGUGGAUGAUGAAGGUCGAAAGAUUGUAAAAUCCUUUUGGAAUGGAGGAAUAAGCGUGGUAGGGAAUGACCGCAUGGUGACUGUAGAUUCUGAAUAAGCAACGGCUAAUUACGUGCCAGCAGCCGCGGUAACACGUAAGUUGCGAGCGUUGUUCGGAAUUAUUGGGCGUAAAGGGCAUGUAGGCGGACAUGCAAGUCUGUAGUGAAAUCCCUGGGCUUAACCCAGGAACUGCUAUGGGAACUGCAAGACUAGAGUUACUGAAGGGCAGCCGGAAUUCCAAGUGUAGGGGUGAAAUCUGUAGAUAUUUGGAAGAACACCAAUGGCGAAGGCAAGUUGCUAGCAGAUAAUUGACGCUGAGGUGCGAAGGUGCGGGGAGCAAACAGGAUUAGAUACCCUGGUA